This 272-nucleotide long non-coding RNA is filed under the name Mytilus galloprovincialis (Mediterranean mussel). Lineage: Eukaryota; Metazoa; Mollusca; Bivalvia; Mytilida; Mytilidae. The record is from RNAcentral.
GGACUGAAUUUUCGGCUCUCCCUUGACACCAUUUGCGAGUAUGGUCUUGAGGAUACGUUGAUAGUCCAUCGGAAGGGGACGAUAAAUGGCUGACCCGUGUUACAAAAGAGCCAUAUCUCUUGCAUGUAAAAGACAAUCAUGUAGAUUUCGAAAAAGAGCAGGCUAAUGCCGCCACAAGGCAGCACGCGCACCCGCGAAGUUGAAAGGGAUUAAUAUUAGUUGCAAAACUUGUUCCCAAUCCACUAUAAAUAAAUAUGUUUAAACUAAACUAA